GUUGGUUCUGGCAUCGUCAGGGAUCUCGUGGCCUUCGCUGACUCCAAGGACGAGGUGCCGUUCACGCGUCCACUACCCAGGUUCCCUGUGCCGCGGGCACCGCAGCCCACACCGAGCUUUGCCGUGUCUGGGAGAGAGACUGGGAUGAGACAUGUGCCAGAGUGGUUGCCGGUGUUCCCGGAUCCGCACACCUAUGUGAGGACGGAGGUCUGGAGUGAACAGGCGGCCAAGGACAGGGUGGACAUGGUGGAGCAAGUUCGGCAGCGGAGGAAGGCUGAGAAGUCACUGCUCAGCUUGCAGCAACGGUUGGCCCUUGCAGGUGGUGAUGGUUUUCGGCCAUCGGUUGCUGUGGAUAGUGCAGAUAAAGGGAAGGAGAUACAGCCAGCAGGGAGCAAGAGGAAUCCUUUUCUUGAGCCUGCUUUGCCGCAUGGGGAGAAGGUGGUCGCAGAGGUUGUUUUGCCACCACAGCGGAAACAGCUUUCUAUCCUCGAGGCAUUCGCCCCCGCAAUUCAGGGAGCAGAUGCCAUGGAGCUUGAUGCUGGGACAGGUUGGGACCAGAAUCUGAACCAAAAGAGCAUUGUUCCAAAGGAGAGAGCACCAGUGCACCUGAAGAUUGGAAUAGAUAAGAAGCCACUGGCAGCGAUGGUAAAUUCAAAACCCCUGGAUCUGUUGGAGGAUCCGUCGUUCUUGAAGGAGGAAACAAAGGAUGAACGGAAGCGGAGGGCUGGGAUGAUAUUAAGGGUGUCAAUGGAGAACCCACAGGAACUUCCCCAGCUUUAAUGUGGUUGGUGGAAGAAGUGCAGUACCCAGAAUGGAGUUGCAUUGAGCUGGAACUUGGGAAUAGGGGAUCUAUGGACGUUUCAGUUUUCUGGUGGAUCUUCAGUUCGCAAAAUCUUGAGGCCAAGCAUCCAAUGAUGCAACCUUCUACUGGAAUGAUGUCAGAAGCAAUAGUCCGAACCUUUGUAGCCUGCACCCAUUCUACCCCAGCAGCAUCAACAAUUGAAUCACCAGACAUUGUUAGGUCCAUAGUUCCUGCUUGCCCUGAUAUUCCUACUAGAAUGAUGCGAGCUUUUUCUUUGCAUGGAGCUGAUUUUGGAGGCCGUCCGUCCAAAGCAUGAUGCUUCUCCCGAGCUGAGCUCUUCCUCUGUGUAGCUAGCAAAGAUGGAGUGGAGAUGUUGUACAAAAACUGACUUGAUUUUCCUGACCAACUCUCGUCUCGACUAGACUGUCCAUUUGAUUGCUCCCCUUCUCUGGUGUGAGAAUCCAUGAGAUUGAAUUGCUUUUUGUAAUGGGCGCGUGUUGGUCGGUGCGCCCCCCUGCUGAGGCUGUAAUGGCAGUGUACUGUAGAGUAUCAUCAUUCUUUUGGCCUGUUUCAACUGUAAAACUAAUUUGAGCUGAGCAAUCAUCCCUUGAUU
This is an RNA transcript of Brachypodium distachyon (stiff brome), 1415 nucleotides long. It is a transcript of the gene named transcription initiation factor pseudogene, with no coding region annotated. The transcript is spliced from 2 exons. The record is from RefSeq and is marked validated. Lineage: Eukaryota; Viridiplantae; Streptophyta; Magnoliopsida; Poales; Poaceae.